UGCAGUCGAACGGUAACAGAGAAGAGCUUGCUCUUUUGCUGACGAGUGGCGCACGGUUGCGUAACGCGUAUACAAUCUACCUUUUACAGGGGGAUAGCCUUUAGAAAUGAAGAUUAACACCCCAUAGUAUCUAAUUAUCUCAUGGUAUUUAGAUUAAAACUUCGGUGGUAAAAGAUGAGUAUGCGUUCUAUUAGCUAGAUGGUAAGGUAACGGCUUACCAUGGCGACGAUAGAUAGGGGCCCUGAGAGGGGGAUCCCCCACACUGGUACUGAGACACGGACCAGACUCCUACGGGAGGCAGCAGUGAGGAAUAUUGGACAAUGGGCGAGAGCCUGAUCCAGCCAUGCCGCGUGCAGGAUGACUGCCCUAUGGGUUGUAAACUGCUUUUAUAUAGGAAGAAACCUUUCCACGUGUGGAAAGCUGACGGUACUAUAAGAAUAAGGAUCGGCUAACUCCGUGCCAGCAGCCGCGGUAAUACGGAGGAUCCAAGCGUUAUCCGGAAUCAUUGGGUUUAAAGGGUCCGUAGGUGGAUAAUUAAGUCAGAGGUGAAAUCCUGCAGCUCAACUGUAGAAUUGCCUUUGAUACUGGUUAUCUUGAAUUAUUGUGAAGUGGUUAGAAUAUGUAGUGUAGCGGUGAAAUGCAUAGAUAUUACAUAGAAUACCAAUUGCGAAGGCAGAUCACUAACAAUAUAUUGACACUGAUGGACGAAAAGCGUGGGGAGCGA
This 724-nucleotide ribosomal RNA is filed under the name uncultured marine bacterium. Its description in RNAcentral is "bacterial SSU rRNA". It matches the Rfam family "Bacterial small subunit ribosomal RNA", at positions 56 to 771 of the family's 1533-position model. The record is from RNAcentral.